Non-coding RNA from Vicugna pacos (alpaca), 5264 nucleotides. Lineage: Eukaryota; Metazoa; Chordata; Mammalia; Artiodactyla; Camelidae. The record is from RefSeq and is a predicted model, not a curated record.
UGGAAAUACAAGUUUGCAAAUGUUUAUAGCAACUUGACAUUGACACAACAUGCUAUCUAUCCACAAUGGAUAGAUAAGCAAGAAAGCAAUAACAACUGGUCCUCUACCACAGAAUUUGAGAAGCCCUGCCUGCCACACAUCCUCUGCCUUCCCCGGGAGACUGCCAGCAUCAUGAGGGCAGGUUGUCCCAAAAGAGAACUCGAGAAUCGGUGAUGAGCACAGUGGGAGACGGAGCCGGCUGCCUAUCUCAAAAGGGCACAUCACCAUAAUCACGGCUACACGGGAUAUGUUUCAUCAUAGGAGUUGAAGACAUAAACUACACACAGUGUGAAUUCAAAAUAGCCCUAAUUCCAAGAAUUUACUCCCAAAAGGAACAUGAAUAUGUGUCUGCCUGUAUUGGAGACUGUAUGGAUGAAAAUUUCUGAAUUGACUCCCAUGUAAAAUGCAAAAAUUAUUAAAUGCUCACCUUCACUGCCUCGGAAGACCAACACUGGGGAAGCAAGAAAGAAGACAGGAAGUGGGAAGAAAACCCCCAAAGACUUCAGUGCGUUGGCUCCACCUGUGAUCACGCACAGAUGCAGAUUCUUAGACCUACAGGCCUGGAUUCUGUGUUUCCCAAUGACGGAACCUAACCCAAGCUGGCAAGGAAGUCUGGGAAAUGUCAUUUCCAGCCUUCCCAACCCCGGAUACAGAGGAGAAAACAGAAGAGUGAGGAUGGACCUAAGAACCAAGUCAGAAAUCACCAACAUGAGCAGUUGCACAAUUUAAGCACUUUAUUAUGUUGAUCGUCAUCAUCAUUUUUGUUGUUAUUACUUCUGCAGCCAACAAGCAGUGGGACCUCAGUCAAGUUAUUUCACCUCUCCAGGCUUUCAUUUCUUUAUCUUUAAAGUGAAAGGGUUGGACUGACUAAGUCCUCGGUCCCUUCCAACAAAUAAUUUUCUUCUUCCCCUCAUUAAUCCCAUCAACAAACACUUGCUGAGCCCCAAGUGUAAGCUGGGCACGAACGAAAAAUCAGCAAGAUCAGGUUUGUAUGAAAGGUCACUGUCUAGUGACAGAGACAAAUGAGUAAUUGAGCUCCUUAGUAAAUGUGAGCUCAUCCAGCGAGAGUGAAACGAACUGACUCCCAGUCCAGUGCUCUUUCCUGUUCCAGAAAGUUCCAUAGUCAGGGAGAAUUUCUCCUUCUGGCUCUGGGUGUGCACAUAACAGAUGGUCCCUUUCUCCAAUAAGCUCUGUCUCCCAUUGUCCAUCAUCUACCUCCUCCCCUACCUGGGCCUCAAUAUCAACUUGUCAAGGAUGUAGCAGGGAGGUGAGCUGCAGAGUGGGUCGUCAGCGCGGGGCCCUGGCCGACAGCUGCAGGGCAUUCAAGGUAAUAAGGGAUGUAAAAAUAUGAAUGCUCUGGGUCUCCAUGAUUUCCCUGUUUGCCCAAUCUGUCAUCAUGCUACCCACGGAUUUCCCACUAUUGCUCAUGACCCUAAUGUGGAGUGGGAGACCCUGUGUAUUCCAUUUCUUACUGCUGCUCAUUCUGAUUGCAUUUCAAAUAUUGCCGUGGAAACGUCAAUUCCCCAAGCCAAGAAGACCCCCGUUUCCCAGAAGCUACUUCUACAAACUCUAGAAUAUAGAUGAGCUUGGCCCAAUCACGCGCUGCAUCUCGACCCAGCGGAUUUGCAGCACACCUGCAUUGGAGGUAAAUCGAUUGGUGCUUCUUAAUCCCAGCAAGUACCAGGCAGGUUCUCCCCUACUCAUUGAAGCUUAGUAGUAACAUGCCCUUCACUGUAAAGAGAAUUUUUUGUCCUCUCACUUGGGACUAAAGGUCAAAGUUUAAAUCUAUAUUUAAUGCCAUUUUCUGAAAACUGGAUUUGUGAUUCCCUUUAUGUUGGUAUUACAUAUCUUAAGGGAUUUCAAGGGGAGAAAUCUGGGAAGCCCAGUUUCUGAGAAUGACCUUUACUUUAAAUGUGUAAAUAGGAUGGAGCUUGUGUUUCUGCUUUUUAAACCUUCUAAUUGUGUUUCCAAAGAUGGUUCUGGAAACCAUGGGCUGUGCUGAGUGGUUACACAGAAGCCACUUUGAAAAGAAGAGACUGAUUUUUGUCUUAUACAGAUGAAAAGCUGAAGGUUAAUGGCUCGUGCUCUGCUGGCCUGCUAGGGACAGUUUCUUGUGAAGCUUUGUACCUUGAGCUACGGUGAUCCCACAUUAGAAUAUGCAAAUAGUACGGCCUUUAACUGCCUCGGAAAAAGGAAAGUUCAAAUUUACUUAAUUCCAUUUUUCCUCUGAAUUUUAUAAAACAUUAUUGAAGUGGUAUCAGAAUAUCAUUCAGAAUGUCAGUUUUAGAAUAUUUCAAAUAUUUACCUAAAGGUUUUUUAAGCGGCUGCUUUUACUGUCUGAAUGUGGCACUAAAGACAGUUAUAAAAUUGACUUUCCUUGCACCUCAUAAGCUCAAAGUUGCAUGUUUAAAAGGUAGUGAUAGGGAUUUUUCAGUUUGCCAAGAGUCUCCAGGCAUGAUCGGAUAGAUUGAUGAUAGAUAGACAGGUAGAUAGAUAGAUAGGAAGAAAUAAUUGGAAUAUUUAAUAAAGAUCCCACGAUAAGCUUCUUUUUAAAAAAAGAUUGAUCCUCAUGCUAUUACCACAUAAUCUCCAACACUCAGACUCCAAAAAUUUUGCAUUUGUUAUUUUGAAACCAGAUACGAAUUGUCCUCCACAGUCGUCGUGGGGUCAGGUCACCCAAGAUGGCUGUUCUCUUGCUCUCUGUACAUCCCCUGCUCUGUCAGUGCCCUCUUCACCCGGCUCACCUGACUGACCUCCCCGCCAGCUAGUGAUUUGUUCUACCUUUGAGAUCAGGAACGUCUCCACCUGUUAGCUUAUCAACGGGGCGGGGAGGGGCGUGCCCCUCUGUGGUCUCCCUGGUAACUGAUGAGCCAAACCUGCGCUAACCCCCUCCCCCCCAGAGCGAGGACUGCCGCCAUGUUCUGCCCGCUGUCUGCCUGCGGGCACGGUGAGGUGUCCUCCAGAGCCUUGCUUCAGACAUGUAAGCUUCCCCGUCCAUUAAAAACCAUUCACGUCUGUCUCGGACGCCGGGCCCUGUCCCGGUCCAGGAGCUGGGCAAGCGCGGGGCUCGCAGGCCUGGGCGGCGCAGCCAGAACUUGUGGAGCAGCCAGGAGACGAGGAAACUCCGGUGAGCACGAGAGGUGGGGAAGGAAGGACGCGGGAUGGAAAGUUCGGGAGUGGGGGGGGGGGCGUCCGACUAACAUGUGGAGCCCAAAAGUUUCAGGGGUGACCCCCAAAAGUUGCAGAGGUAAUCUUGGGGCGGCCUCCACUAGUAUGUGGGGCCCUGUGGUGGCUGUCCUUGAUGAACAGGGGCCGCCAAGGCAGUACAGAGGCCUCACGGACACCCCCGCGGCUGUUGGCGGACAUGCUGGCCUCCAUGACUGGGAGGAAGAAGCGCCGCGGCCGCGGGCUGGCCCGCGCUUUUUACCAAACUUUUUACGCUUUUUACGUUACGCCAGGCGGCGGCUGAGCUACUGCUGAGGCGGGGAUUACUUAAAUGCUGGUUCUUGUUCCUCUGGGAGUGAGGCAUUGUGAAUGUGACUGACUGGUACCUAUUAUUGUCUGUUGCUGCUAUUCGUUUAAACUGAAUUGGCUAUUUAGAAACUGGGGGGAAAAUCCUUGUCUUGACUAUCUUGACGUUCUAAAACUGGUUUUUGCUUACGCGGUUAGAGGACGUUAGCUUUCUAGAAGGAAUUGAUAUUUCUCUUCGUGUGCGUUUGAGAUGUAAAUGAUCUACCUGGGCUCUCAGAAACUGUAAUCCGCGAGAGUGAAGGGGGGGAAAGGAGGCCUUUUAAACUCUAGCAGGAAAACUGUGAGAUCUGUGUCCGUGUAGAUAUAUGUAUGUCUGUGUGUGCCUUAGAAAUAUGAUGUGUCUCUGCCUCCAAAUGGCACAGCCAAGAUUGGUUUGUGGAUGAACUCUGUUUAAUUGGCGUAAAAGAAAUUAAGUGCGUACGUAAAUUCUCGGAAUUCGGUCUGGAAGCUGGGCAAGCACAGGACUCGCAGGCCUGCAGGGUGCAGCCCAACAUUCGUAUUGAAAGGGUGGCUUUGGAAUUAGAUUUUUCAUUAUUCAGCAGUGUAAUAAAAUCUGGCCCAAAGAGGUUCGCUCUCUGGGUUCUUCCAGACUGUUCUGCCCUCACACCCCACUGUCACUCCUACCACGGACUUGCCAGCCCAUCUCUUGCCAGCUUACUCUGUACAACACCUAUCCACGAUGCCCUGUCAGGAGCUGCUUUUCCACACAGGAGGCCCAGGCAAGGGCAAAACUUGCCCACGUUCAGUUGAAAAGUGGCAGGACCGGGUUUCAACCCCUGGCCUGUCUGACCCAGAACCCAUAGUUUCCCCUUGAUUCUAUUCUGUUCCCAAAUGAAGUUCACUGGGCUCUCUGAAAAAAACAAAACAAAACAAACACUUUUAUUUUAAGAGAGCCAUUUCUUGUAGCAUUUAUUUUUUUACUUUGAUCUAUACCUAUCCCUUGGGUGCCUCCUCCCAGCCCCCUGCUUCCUCCAUCAGAAAGCAAACUCACAGACAGGUUAUGGCAGAAUUGGGCUGGUGUUGUAGCCACUUUCACAGCCAGAUCAGAUGUCUUUGUGGUCAGCGCUAAGCUAGCCAGAUGAACCAAAGCUGACCAUGUCUGGGGCAGGCUGGUUCACAGUUUACAGCCACAGGGAAAUUACGUUUUCUGAGACGCAUCUAAAUAUUCACUUUGUGAUUGCCCCACACUUUCCCCUCCCUCCUGUGGUCAUUGCUGCCUUAACAGUCCCCCUCCUGCCAGCAGCCAGCAACCCCUUAGGGAUGCAGCCAUUCGUUCUCCCUCCUCCAUCCCUGCAUCAUUUUCUCCACUGGUCUUUGUUUCUCCAUUCCUGCAAGCAGGCUCCUCCUAUUGUCUCCCCACCUUCUGUCACUUUGGCCCCAGAUAGCUGUCGCUGAAACCACUGUUGACCCUCUCCUUUCCAGAAUGGCAGCUCCUCUCCGCCCUGCAUCCUUUAUAUAACUGCGGCUUCCUUAGGCGAAGCUGAUUAAACUCGCCUCCUCCACUGCCACAGUUCCUCAGCUUCUUCCCCGGGGCUUUGUGCUACCUCUGGCUUUCUUCUUACCUCUCCUGUGAUCUUUUAUCUUCUGUUCUCCCAGCUCCCUUCAAUUCUCUCUCUGCACUUUGUUUCUGUCUGACCCCCUCUAUCCCUUCACUUUUAACUGUAGCAGACUCCAGGGAAUGUCUUUAAAAAAAA